Molecule: long non-coding RNA, 500 nt
Organism: Triticum dicoccoides
Lineage: Eukaryota; Viridiplantae; Streptophyta; Magnoliopsida; Poales; Poaceae
Exons: 4
Source: RefSeq, a predicted model, not a curated record
GUGGCCUCCGGCCCGCGGCGCCCCUCUCAUGUUUCCCGUCUCCGCCUCCGGCUGGUGUUGGCAAGGUUGGGCGCGACUUGGUGGUUGGUGGUGGCAACAACGACAUUGAACUCGACCACUGUGAGAUGCUCAAACCAAGGAAGACCAUGACGGGGAGGAGGGACUGCCUUUUCCUCAAAGAGGAGGUCGAGCGUCCGAGGUUUUGUGAGGGAAUGAAGCAAAACAACAUGAAGGAAAUAGAGCGGGUUGUGUGUCAUCGUGCACACAGUCUGCCUUCCAUUGGUGUGUGAGUACUUGCACUUGGAUUGCCCAAUUGUAUGUGCACUCUUGCAGCAGAUGGUUGCCUUGACUGGGACGCGCUUGCACAUGCCGUCAGACCGGAGACCGGGUGCACGCUCAUACAGAGGUCCUAUGGUUACUCGUGGCGCAAGAGCCUGAGCAUAGAUGAUAUCUGUAGAGCCAUCGAUUUGAUCAAGGCAAGAUUAAUGUAUACUAUGUAU